Strigops habroptila (Kakapo) is the source of this 2059-nucleotide long non-coding RNA. Lineage: Eukaryota; Metazoa; Chordata; Aves; Psittaciformes; Psittacidae. The record is from Ensembl.
UUUUAUUUCCAGCUUUUUAAUGUGACAGGGAGAACAAAACCAAAGUCCAUUGGAACAGCUGCAAUUUCCAGUGACAACCAGACACAGAUCAAAUAAAAAAAAAAAAAAAACCAACAUAAAAGAAGAAAGGUUUCAAUUGAUGAAAAGGAACAAAGGGACCGGAAUUGUCUAUUUCACACACACAGAGUCGACAGAACAUCUAAAUGAAACAGUUCAUUAAAUGCAGUUCAAUAACUGGGUGUUAUUUACAGUGGAACUUGCAGUGUGUGUGUACCUUUAUAGAGCACUAACACCACAUAGAGCAAAGAAAUUUCUUUCAGUUUGUUUCCUUCACAGUUCCCAGAUUUGAUUCUUCUUAAAAGCAGUGUUUGCUAAUACGAGGGUAAGAAACUGAGGGAGAAACUUGGUGGAAAUACAAUGGAUGGGGCUCAAACCUUAAUAAACCUAAAAAUAUACUGUCAGGUUCAUAUGUCCUUUGGAAAGUCAAAGGACAUGAGCAGGGAACAUAAAUGGACCUAGGGCCUCCUUAACAGUAUCAGAGUGUACUCUGUUGUUGGAGGUCUCAAAGCAGGACCUGGAGGAGACCUGCACAUCUGCAGAAAGCUCAGCUCCAUGCAGCCUCACUCUGUGCCCCUGUGUGAACUCAGUCUUGGGGCUGGACCAGGGAAUUCCAGGCUCAGGAAAUAUCUCCGGUAUCACCGAAGGGCAUCAGGCUGCCUGAUGUGCUGAACAUCUGGAUCUGAAUAUGGGUUUUCCAAGAGUGACUCUUAGUACAAAAGAUCUGUACAGCGCUGUUUAUAAGUCACAGAGCAUUCCAAGGGGAUAAGGAUCAUACGGGCAAAGAGGGGAUCACCCCACCCAGCACAAGCUGCAGCCACCACCUGUAGAACAUAGCAGAGCCAAAGACAGUGGUGGGAGUUGCCCUGCACAACUGAAUUAAAAGAAUACGUAUACAGCAACCAGUUAAAUCAACUGGGAAUAUAAGGAGGCAGAACUCUUAUUGUAAUACCACUAGUGUCUUAUAAUAAUAUUAACAAUGCUCUGUGUUCCUCUAAAUGUCUGUUUCUGCAUGCUCAGAAACUCAGUAAUGAACUCCUCCUGUGACCCUGUUACACUGCUGUACCCCUAAAUCACAGCAGGCCAGUCCGGGUUCCCUAAACCCAACUUUCCCAUGCUGCAAAGUCCCUGGCUGCAUGACUGUACUGGUGCGCCAUGCAUGCAUGAAGAGGUCCAGCUGUCUUCUAGAAGAUGUCUUUGGGAUUUAAGGCAAGUCCCCUGUCUUGGUCCUCUGUGCCCCUGUUGCAGUAAAGUUCAUGAAUCCAAGGAAAUAGUGUUCUGCAGAGAUCAUCAGUGGACCUGUGGUCAGCAGUUUUCUCUGUGGAUGGUCCAGUGCAUCCAAGACAAGGAGACUGUUCACUGUGGCAAAGAUAGGCAGGAGUAACCAAUGGAGCAGGCAUGCUGGUCCCUUGCGCUGCAGGUAUAAUGCUGAUUUUGCAGUAGAAAUAAAGCUGAGCCAUCAGAGGAGGAGCCUGAGAGAAAUCUCCCCCUGCAUGAUGCUCCAGGGUUCAGUGGCUCGGGCUCAUGGCUUGAAGCUGAGGUGCAAAUCAGAACACAGCCAAUGCUGAGGGGACUGCACCUGUCAACCAUUUUGCCUGAAGAGCAGCAGUGUGAAGCUUACACCGAUUUACACCAUGACAAGGACAAUAAACAAACACAUUAGAAAUAUUGACUAAGCCUUGUUCACACUGAAGUUGGAUGGGAGAUGUUAGUCCAGGUAUCAAAAAGGUAGAUGACUGAGCUGGAGCUGUUGCCCUGGAUUUCUCUGUUACAGGAAAGGAGUAGGGCUAUCCAGGGCAAGCCAUCUUCUCAGUAAGGUACCUGAGCAUGGCCACAUAUAUUGCCUAUGCCUUUCAGCUAAGAAUAAUGGGAACUCAGGGCAAUGAGUUCAGAUCCCGACAUCUAACUCAUAGGUGUCUAAAGCUGGGCUAUAUUGUUUCUCCUUAGUUUUUCCUUUCUUCCUUCUCUGUUCAGUGUCACCCUUUCCUAUUAGGUCAUGAAC